AAAAAAUUAGUUAAACAAAAUAACCUUAGUAUGUCAAACUAAAAUUAUCAAUAAUUGAUAUUUUUUA
Molecule: transfer RNA, 67 nt
Filed under: Potthastia sp. 4XL
Lineage: Eukaryota; Metazoa; Arthropoda; Insecta; Diptera; Chironomidae
Description: tRNA-Asp
Source: RNAcentral